Molecule: long non-coding RNA, 3787 nt
Filed under: Canis lupus familiaris (dog)
Lineage: Eukaryota; Metazoa; Chordata; Mammalia; Carnivora; Canidae
Description: lncRNA (ENSCAFG00000052996.1)
Source: RNAcentral
AUGGUGAUUAUGGAGGUUCUAAAGCCCUCCCUAACUCCCUCAACUCCAUGGGUGCGUCCACUUGGGUUCUGGGGAUGGGACUGCCGCUUGUGGGAGACCAUGAGUCAUGGGACCUGGGAGAGGUGUGGCAAGCAGUUGUGGGCACCUCUGAAACAUCCCUUCUUCCUAGACAUGGCUGCUGUCCAAGGGACGGGGACUCCAAGGAGCAACCGUGGGAAGGCAAGGAGGCCAGGAUUGCCAGCUGGAAGAUUUCUAGAGGAGAUGCCUCAUCUUCAGAGGUCUAAGGAGGAUCAGGCAUGGGCCAGCUUCUCCCUAGGAAGCUACUCCCAUCCAUUAUGCUGCCUGAGCACCAAAGUGCUACUUACCCAGAAUCGAGACAUGAUUUAAAACCCGCACCGUCUGUUUUGGGCAGAUACAAAUGAAUGACAAAUGAAUCUGUCAUUUGGGCAGGGCUUGAUGGGGUCAGGGCUCUACGUGGCACGGGUGGAGCUGGCCUGAAGACUGGGGGCUGGCAUCCCCUGGGGCUGCUUUACCUGUCCAGCAGUGGAGGCUGGUCGUCGGCUGAACCCCUACACGUGAGCUCUGCCCGCUGCUGCCUGGCUUCCUCCCAGCACCGCGGCGCAGCCCUUCAUCGGCCAUGAGACGUGCAAAUUAAAACCACAGUGAGAUAGCGCUACGCCCCUCCUAGGACGUCUAAACAAAAAAGACUGACCGUACCCAGUGUUGUCAAGGAUGCUCUCCUCUGUUUUGGAAACGGGCUGGGCAGUUUCUCCAGAAGUGAAACGUCCGCUUGCCAUAUGACCCAGCCAUGCAGCUCCGAGGUAAGCAUCCCAGAGAAAGGAAGACAACGCGUGUUCAUAGCAGCUUUAUCUGCCCUAGCCAGAAAUGUCCAUCAACAGGUGAACAGAUAAGUAAUUUAUGGUACACAGUGAAACACAAUUCAGCAAUAAAAAUUAACUGUUGAUACAUGCAACAAUGUGGGCAGCUCUCCAAGCUCUCAGGCUGAGUGAAAGAAGCCAGACAAAAAAAGGUGCACCUACAGGGCACCUGGGUGGCUCAGUCGGUUAAGCAUCCGCCUUCGGCUCAGAUUGUGAUCCCAGAGUCCUGGGAUUGAGCCCCAUGUCAGGCUGUCUGCUCAGUGGGGAGUCUGCUUCUCCCUCUCCCUCUGCUCCUCCCCCUACUUGUGCUUUCUCUCUCUCUCUCUCAAAUAAAUAGGUAAAAUCUUGUUUUUUUUUUUUUUUCAAGUGCAUGUAGAGUAUAAAAGCCUAGAAAAUGCAAACUUAACCUGUGAUGACAGAAAGCACAUCAAAGGUUGCCUGGAGAUGCUAGGCAUGGGGUGGAGGGAGGGAUGACAGAGGAACACGAGCAAACUUGUAGCUUGAUGGAUACAAUAUCUUGAUAGUGGUGCUGGUUUUACAGGCGUAUACAUGUCAAAAUUUGCCAAGUUGUACACUUUAGAUGGGUGGUGUUUACUGGGUGUCAAUCACAUCUCAACUUACAAAAUGAAUACUAAGGUGGAAAAAGGAAGGGUGCUUGGGGUGAGAGGAAUCAUGGCGGUCAUCUUGGGAAACACAACCUACCUCAUUCACCAGGUGUUUCCAACGUGUCAGGCACUGUGUGUGCUAAGUGCUUAACAACACUGGUACUAAGUCCACCCAACAACCCAACCCGAAGGGAAGAUGAGGAGGUGGCCAACUAUUUAUUGUUAUUAUUAUCUUGAUGUUAUCAGAGAGCCAUGGGGUCUUGGUCUCUGGGAGAGGAGCAUGUCUCAGGGCUCUGAUGAGCAGGACAUCAGGGUUUUUCUCCCUGAGCUGCAGGAGAAGCUGCUUUCCACUUCUUGGGACAGGUCAGGAAGCAGAGGCGCCCUUUAGAAAGCAGUGAGGUGGAAGCUUGGUGGGCAGGUGUCAGGACCUGGCUGCCCAACUGAGAAGCAGGAAGGGACCUGCGGAGGGGCCUCUCUCAAGCAAGAGUGGUCCCUUCCUUCUUGUGUUAGUUGGGUCCCUUUGGACAGGUAGAUGCCUGCCCAGGACCCCCUGGUAAUUGUAUCCAGCUCUCCCCUGGGAACCACCAUGUUAUGACUUGAAGUCCUCAAAGAUCAGCUGAAAUUGCCACCAUCCCCUUCGCCCCGCUUGCAGAGGGUCUGGCCAGCCCACUGAUCACCAGGGAUUAGCCUGGGCAAAUGCAGGAGCCAGGCUAGGUCAACCAACAAGAGCCUUGGACCUGUGCUCUAAGCAGCAGGAAGGAGACUUUUCCUUUUGCUGGGGUGGCUAUGCUGGCCGACGGGAGCCUUGGUGGACAUCUCUCCACCACAUGGGGAAAGCCUGCCUGAGAACCAACCCAAAAGAUGGUUGCAGAACAGGGAGAAGGAAAGGGAUGUGUUUCUGACAUCCAGUUCAGGCCUGCAGAGCCAGCCGUACCUAAAGUUGGGCCCUCUCCAGGACUUGUUUUAGGGGCUGAUAAUCCACCUCCCUUCCUUAAACUAGUUGCACUUGGGUUUCUGUUUCUUGCAAACCAAGUAGUCCUCUGUGCUUCUUCCCAGCACUAAGACGCCCCACCCCCACCCCUCCAGGGGCUUUCCGAGAGACCCGAGACCCGGAUAUUGGGGUUGGCUGGCAAUUGCACUGCACCUGUGUCUGCCCCAACCCUCCACACCUGGGGAGGAAGCAGACACCAAGCCCCCAGUUCUGAGGCCCCAAGGAGGGCUCGGCUUUUUGAAGCGCUGCAUGCUCUGUUCAGUCCCAGGGCUGUAACGGAGAUGGCAACCCAACCCAACCCAACCCAACCCAGGGAGCCAGGGCAUCCUGGCGUGGCUGGGCCCUGUGUGUCUGGCCACUGCUCUCUGUCUCAAGUGACAGGGUGAGGUCAUCCCUUCUCCCUGUUCCAGAUCCUAAUUAGGCCUCUCUCUCCUUUUUAAUAGGGGCAGAGGGCUGCCCAACAGACAGAUUCUGGUUUAGGAGCCUAGAAAGGGUAGGCUGUGGGCUGGAGAGCGGCUGGUGCACAGCCCCGUGGACCCUUCACCCCCACCCCCAUGGUGAAUCUAGGCCUGGGUGACAACAGGGUGCCCAGAGCAGGGAUGAAGGGUCUGGGCCUGGAGGACGGAGGGCCUUGCGAAGAGCAGAUGGGGGAUAGAACGGGUGGUACCUCUGCCUGGGGAAGAGGGGGAGCAGAUCACUUGUGCCAUGCUGUCCCAUGGAGCUGAGCAGCAAUAAUAGCAGUUGUGACAUUGAUUGAGCAGUUGCUCUACGCUGAACUUUCUAUCAUUGAAUCCUUAUGACCAUUUAUGAGGUGGGUUCUACAGCCCUCACUUUACAGUCACGCUGAGGCUUUCAUAAGGUGUCCACAGUCACACAGCUAGCAGAAGGGGAGCCGGCCAGGGGGCCUCCAUGGGUCUGGAGGAAGUGGUGGAGGGGAGGGGGGAGGACAGAUGUGGGAGGCAGGCAGAAGGAGGCAUCAGCAGGAGCAGAGGGAGGCUGGGGGCCGUCCAGGAGGAAGAGGUGACAGGACUUGAGAGGCUUUGUUGGAAGGGAGGACAGCUGGGUGACAGGAUCAGCAGGGCCUGGAGAGGGAGGCUUGUGUACAGGCUGGUGAAGCUCCUGGGAUGGGGAAUGGAGAGGGCGGGGAAUCUCCCUCACUCUGUGUGGAAAUGAGAACAGGGAGAAACUGAGGAGUCCUCAGGGAAGAGCUUCUCCAGGAGGGCUUGCACAGGAUACGGGGAGAGGGCGAGGGGGAGACGGCAGGGACUAAGGUGGAGGCACUGGAAGGGCUGAUGGGGCAGGAGGGAGGGGAG